AUGUAUAGAUAUUUGGCUUUAAUGGCCUGGUCAUUUCUCCUACUGGACCAUAGAAGAAGGAAGAAGGGUGAAACCUGGAGUAAAGAAGCUUCUGUUACCAAGAGAGGAUGGGAUGUUGGCUACCAAGGCAAUUGCAAGACCUUACACACCCUCAGAGGAGUCAGAGUAUCCGGAGACCAGAGAACUCCACAACUUAAUUGCUUAGUUUUUCAAAAGGAUCUUACAAUCUUUUGUCUCCUGGCCAUCAGGAAAGGAUUAAGAAAACGAAGGUUAAAAUCAACUGCUUCAAUUUCCUGAUAUAAAAAGAAGGAAGUUUUCAGAAAAAUCUUGGUAACAGAUUCUCAACAAAAGGCAAAACUGGAAAAGGGCCAGAUCUGUUCUGCCUACAUCUUUACUUCCUCAUACAUAGAUGAUUUCCAGGACAUGACUCCUGCAAAUUUUCAAGAAAAGGCAACUAAUCUAACAGCUUGAGAUCAAAGAACCUCAUAAAGACCUAUUUCAAGUUGCUGAUGUAAAAAGGAAGUUUUCAGAAAAGCCUUGGUAAGUUUCUAAUCAUUAUAGAUACCUGCUUCAUCAACUUGUUUUAAAAGCUUUCUUUAAAAACGAAUUCUAAAAACUAAAGCAGAACUUUGAAAGUGAAUAUAUUUUCAAGUGUACAUGAGCUAUUUCUAAUGAACGAUUCUAAAAGGAACGAGAAUCUUGCCGUUUUCACAUAUAUCAUUAGAUGUAACUUGCACUGACCAUAGAAGUCUUUAAAAAUGGGUGGCUCAGUCAGUUGGGUGUUGGACUCAAUUUUGGCUCAGGUUGUGAUCUCUGAGGGUCACAGGGUGGGGUCCUGCUCCUCACUCAGCAGGGAGUCUGUCUCCUUCUCUCCCUCUCCCUCUGCCCCUUCCCCUGAUCUCCCUCUCUGUCAAAUGAAUAUAUAAAUCUUAAAAAAAAAGAAGAAGAAGAAAGAAAAAAAGAAACCUUCUAGCAACUAUGGUGCAGAGUGUUUCUAGAGUUGGAGCACUCUGGAGAUGAGGCUAGAAAGACCUAAGUAAAAUGUAGAUCAGAGGAUCAGGACUUGAAGCAUACCAAUCUGUGUAGAAAAUUAUAACCGUGUGCAGCUAUGGCAAACUCUCCUAUAAACUCAAGAUGAUAUCAAAUGUUAAAGAUCAGUUAUUUUAUUUAAGGCCUUCCUUCACAACAAGCUUGUACAAAGACUAUGGGAAGAAAUACAUCAUUUCAACAUGCACUUCCAGAAAAUGUCACUAACUUGCUUGGCAGUUUCAGCUCUGAAGAACAUCGGAACAGGUGUAGGCCUUCUGGUCUCCGAUUGUGAGCCUUCUUUCCUAGAGGCAAAGAUACCUGUGGGCUGCUGAGGCCCAGCUUCCUGGAGUAGGCACCAGUGCUUGCCCUAAAAGCUGCUGGUUUGAGCCUUCCUAAUCAGCCCCAAAGAAAGAAAAUAAAAGUCCUUAAGGAAUGGAUCUGAAAUCAAGUACUCAUAAGGAGAACUCCAGGGUUCAAAAUUUUCCCAGAACAGAAUAAAGGAGAUAAGGUAGAGGUCUUUUCCCCAACUGAAAGCAGAGCAACACCUUUAUCCAUUUUAGACAUACAGGUUUCAUGUGCUUUUCUUUUGAAGAAGCAGAACAAAACCAAAUGCCAACCAAGACAACACUGGUUCUGGUCCCAUGCACUUAUACAAUGAAAACAGGUUGGCUGAGAGGAGACACAUUUAAUCACGAUACUGUUUUCCUGAUCACAACCCCUCCCCCUUUAUUUACACUAUGUAGCCUCUUGCCAAACAUAAAUGUCCCUCAUGUUUAAAAAAUAUGCCAAUAUUCCAGGAUGUAAAUCUAUCAAAGAAUGUUCAUGAAAGGUCUUUGUAAGCCUCAGAACAGUGAAAUACAUUAAAGUUCUAUAUAAAUAUUUACAAAUCAUCACCCCAAACAAGGUUGAAGACACGGAUUGGGCCACAGAGUUAUACUAAAGCAUUAUUAAAAUGUUUUUGCCCAAAUAAUGGUCGCCUUGAAUUAAAUACAUAGUUCCAGCCAAAUAUGGAUUAUAGACUCUAUAAGAUGCUUGUAUAACUGACAGAGUGCAAAAUUCAUGUGAAAGUGUUACCAAAUAUAUAGUAACUUCAAAUCAUUAUGUAUCUUCUCAGCUCCCAUCAUAGCAGUGAGCAGCUAAGAAAUGUUUUGAUGUUAUAAAGGGUCUUCGUCUUUGAACAAUGGGGCAACCUGUGAAAUAGAGAUAAAAAGACAGAUUUGGGGAGAACAAAUGCCAUUCCAAUUUGAGAAGAGUGCUCCCAUCUCCCUGUGGUUCCGACAGAAUUCAAACAAUUAAGAGAAAUGAGGGGGACGUCACCUCCCUGGGAGGUACCACAAAGACAAGCCCUUCCACCAUCCCCAAAUUACACAUACACAUGUGUGUCUCUGGGCAUCUAGUAGCUGAUAAGCAGGAAACCCUUCAUGUGUUGCUUCUUGGAGAGUGCUGGGGUCUAGUGGAAUUGCUGUAAUCACUGGCUAAAUCAGAAGAGAAAAUCUACAGCUCUUCCUUACAAUAUUUGGGGCACCCAGAGGACAAGGUGAGAGAGGACUCUGACUAAGAGAAGAUAUUGCCACAGACUUGGACAGAACAAGUCUGUGGAGAGCGAUGAGAGCAUCUCCAGAGAAGAGGCCUCCUCUCCAGAGCAAGAGGUAUGGACAGUCAAUUAAGAGAACAGAAACUAAAAUAGAAUGUAUGGACCUAGUAACAGAAGAAAAGUCAAGAAACAGAACAGGGGUAGAUAUGGUUUUAAGAGCUCAGGGAAGCUCUUUUCUGAUUGCUUCAAUUUCCAAGUUGCAGUAGGAAGUAGGGUUACAGCGGAAAGUGACAAUGUUGAGGAGGUGUUGGAGAUUUGAUGAGAGAGGAGAAUGUGUAAAAUAGUUUAGGACAAUGAGAGAAUGAAUACAGCAGGAAACAGUAUGGUAGCUCAAAGCACUAACAGCCUGCUAGAAGACAGUGGUCAUGACUUUAAAGUGAGACCAGUCGGGUAUAGAAGGUCAUUGUCCAGCCAUGUUCCUGACAUGGGCAGAGUACAAGUGGAGGAAGGAGAAAGCAAGUGAUUAUAAUGAAUGAACAAAAAAAAAAAUCAAGCUAGUUACAAGGGAGAGGCAGUGAGGAGAUGCAGGGGCAGGGGGACGGGAGUGAGAAAGUAAUAGAAUCUAGAAUCGGUGAGUUAUGGGUCUUGGUGUUAAAGAAAUAUUAGAAUUUGAGCACUAAAGGCAGUGAGUCUAGGAGCGCCUGGGUGGCUCAGUCACCCGACUGAACAUCUGACUCUUGAUUUCGGUUCAGGUCAUGAUCUCAGGAUCGUGAGAUCCAGCCCCAUGUGGGGCUCCCUGCUAGGUGCGGAGUCUGCUUGAGAUUCUCUCUCUCCCUCUCCCCCUGCUCCCCCUGCUCCUUCUAUCUCUCUCUCUCAAAUAAAUAAAUAAAAUCUUAAAAAAAAAAUAAACAUAGUGAGUCUAAGGGGCAGGAGAUCCUGGUGAGGGAGAUAUUUGAAUCUGAGAUGCUGGAAGGCUUGUAGCCAUUGGUGAUUCUAUUAGUUUGCUAGGGUUGCUGUAACAAAGUACCACAAACUACGUGGCUUAAACCACAGAAAUGUAUUGUCUCACAGUUCUGGAGGCUGGAAGUCCUCAACAUCAAGAUGUUGGUGGGGUUGGUUCCUUCUGUGGGCUGUGAAAGAGAAGAAUUCCCUGUCUCUCCUUUAGUUUCUGGUGGUUUGCUGGUGAUCUCUGGCAUUCCUUGGCUUAUAGAUCACCCCAAUCUCUGCCUUCUUCUGCACGUGGUAUUCUCACUGUAUGUGUGUGAACCUCUGUGGCUAAAUUUCACUUUCCUAUAAAGAUACUGGUCAUAUUGAAUUAGGGCUCAUUCUAACAGCUUCAUGUUAACAUCUGCAAUGACCCUAUGUUCCAAAAGGUCACAUUCCAAGGUACUGGGGCUAGGACUUCAUCACAACAACCUAAACUUGGCAGGAGGUGAUCAUUAAGCAAGAGAGUUUAUUUGGGAUCAAAGAGUUGCAAUUUGGGGUACACAGAUUUGGGUAGCAACCCAGAUAGUGUCCCACCAAGCAAAAGUCAGGCAAAAAGGGAAUGCCUAGGGGCACCUGGGUGGCACAGUCGUUAAGCGUCUGCCUUCGGCUCAGGGCGUGAUCCCGGCGUUAUGGGAUCGAGCCCCACAUCAGGCUCCUCCGCUAUGAGCCUGCUUCUUCCUCUCCCACUCCCCCUGCUUGUGUUCCCUCUCUCGCUGCCUGUCUCUCUCUGUCAAAUAAAUAAAUAAAAUCUUUAAUUUAAAAAAAAGGGAAUGCCUAUAUAUGUUGCUUACAAAGAAUUUUUGAUUGGUGUUGGGGGCAGAAAACUCAUCUUGAUUGAAUAUAAUUGAUUGCUAAGGCUAUCACUAAGAAAACGUCUUGCUAGCAAGUAGCAAAUUGCAAGUGUUAGGACUGAGUCCUUGGAAUAUUUUCUAUUUGGCCCAGUUUAAAAGUUCAUGGUUCUACCAGUGAGGACAUGCAUAAGGCCCAUCUCCUUAAUGGCCUCCUGGCUCCAUCUUAAACCCCUUGACAUAAAUGACCCCAUUUCACCUAUCACAAACACAUAAGUUUGUGUGGAGGGGGUCACAAAUCAACGCAUGACAGUUUGUGAUAAGGUCAAUGGUGUGACCAUAGCAGUGGAUUUGGGGGGGAGGUUAAGAUCAUUGGACGAGAAGCAGUCAUGAUGGAGAAAUGCCAGUAUAUUGAAGGAUCAUCUAGGUGUCUAUGGAGCCACCAAAAAUUGUGAUGAGAAUAGUGUCUGAGGGCAUGAGUGCCUCUUCCCCUCAGCUGCCUGCAGAAAGCAGGUCAAAAUAUAUUAAAAUAUAUAAAAAGCAAGUAUUCAGCAAAUUGUUAAGGUAUGAAACAUUUUAAGACUAAAUUUAAAAAUAAUACAGUAAUCAUUUUUUAUUCAGCCUUUUCUCCAAAGUGACUUCAAAAAAUCUUUCAUUAAGAAUAUGCUUAUUAAUAACUGCUUAUCCUAUUGGCUCCAUAUAGUGCUUGUAAAGAGGUAAGGCAGAACCUCUCCUUCAGUCUUAUCUGAGGUGACACUUAGGGACUCUGCAGAGGAGACAGGAGGAUCAGGGAUGAGCCUCCAG
Molecule: long non-coding RNA, 5142 nt
Organism: Ursus thibetanus thibetanus
Lineage: Eukaryota; Metazoa; Chordata; Mammalia; Carnivora; Ursidae
Source: Ensembl